GAUGAACGCUGGCGGCGUGCUUAACACAUGCAAGUCGAACGGAAAGGCCGAAGCUUGCUUCGGUACUCGAGUGGCGAACGGGUGAGUAACACGUGGGUGAUCUGCCCUGUACUUCGGGAUAAGCUUGGGAAACUGGGUCUAAUACCGGAUAUGACGAUCUCUUGGAUGGGGUUGUGGAAAGCUUUUGCGGUAUGGGAUGAGCUCGCGGCCUAUCAGCUUGUUGGCGGGGUAAUGGCCUACCAAGGCGUCGACGGGUAGCCGGCCUGAGAGGGUGUACGGCCACAUUGGGACUGAGAUACGGCCCAGACUCCUACGGGAGGCAGCAAUGGGGAAUAUUGCACAAUGGGCGCAAGCCUGAUGCAGCGACGCCGCGUGGGGGAUGACGGCCUUCGGGUUGUAAACUCCUUUCGCAAUCGACGAAGCCUUUUGGUGACGGUAGGUUGAGAAGAAGCACCGGCUAACUACGUG
This 468-nucleotide ribosomal RNA is filed under the name uncultured bacterium. RNAcentral's name for it is "partial 16S ribosomal RNA". It matches the Rfam family "Bacterial small subunit ribosomal RNA", at positions 28 to 507 of the family's 1533-position model. The record is from RNAcentral.